UGAAAUCAACUUCCCAUUCCCAUAUAACAGAGAAACAUAGUACUAGUUCAUAACAACGUGAAUGUGGUCGCGUUGAUAAGCUAUCUUAUAUUUUGAUAAGAAACGGAAAAUCGUGAUGUUCACGCGAGGCAGUAUCAUUGUCCUACUACGACAAGUUGUCUUGUGCUCGAGUUAAGCCUUCUGUUUUCUUCUUCCGUUCUCUUCGUCCUGUUGAACAACAGUGCGUGUAGGUGGAUGCUGUCGCAACCGAAAAAGCGAAAAAGUUAUUGCAUUGCCAUGAGUUACGACAUCACAUCACCCUGCAAAUUCCUUUAGCAGAACAAACGUUUAUCAGAAAUUCAGAAGAAACCAAACAUCGAGGACAUACGAGGUCUAUCCCAAAAUAUUUAUCAAUUUUGGUUUCCAUAUCAAAAGUUUAAUUUAAUUUAUAGAAAAUACUUAUUACAAUAUUUAUAUCACCAAAUAAGUUUAUAAAAAACUAAAUUCAAAAAUCUUUCUAAGAAUACCAAUUAUGUGCCCUGCAUCAAAGUUGUUUCUCGAUAAACAAAAAUAAUAUAUAUUUUGAGGCGGAGUGAGUACAUGCCACGUGUGACAAUCUGAAUAUACUGUCUACGUAUAUAUUACCUGGCAUCAUUGUUUUUGCUGUUUUCAUUCUUCCAAACUUGCGUGCUCUUCUCACGAACGGAGCACGUAUUUCCAACUUUGCGUACGUGUGUUUCAUGUCUGUUUGUUUGCGCUGAUAUUCAAUGCCUCAACUGCUAGCAAGAUCAGAUAAGACUGUGUACCUUCCCAUCUCACUGGCAUGCUCCUCAUUGCAUUUUUUUUGAAAAAAAAAAACAAAACAAAUCAUCAAUUCAUAUAUUGCGUCGCGUAUCCUACAGCCAUUUCUUGUUGGCGAUGGCCCCCUUGUGCCAGCGAAACUCAUGUGGAGGACGUUGAUGUCUCGAUACCCAACUUAUGAGCCCGUGUUGCUGCGUUGCCGACUCAGUUCAGAUCCUCCACCGUCCGUUUGUUUUUUCCGGCACAAACUGCCGUGGCUUUGCUUUUCCAGUCGUGACUGAACCUGUACCAUCCACGUCGAGCUCGAGCCCAUGUUGCCGAUGGAUUGCACUCGAACAACCCGCGCGACUGAUCGAGAAGUCGGUGAUUUGGACUGAAACCGUCGCCGUCAGUUUCCUAAUUGGGUCAUGGCGUCUAGUUGAAAGCAAUUGUGCCCCAACUGCCCCCAUGCCAGCAAAGCGAACACAUGCAUGCCGUAGAAUUAAACCGGAGCAGCAACUGUCGAGAGAGAGAAUCCUAUCCGGGCAGUUUUGUGGCCGAUUUGUCUGACUGCCCUGAGGCCUCCCUCUUUGUUCCCAUGCACAAGCCGACUGUGAGAGAAAGCGACCACGUCAUGGGAGAUUGGGACUUUGGGAGGGAGGAGGAGGACGUCACCGCGCGCUCCAGCCGGGCAUUGUUUAGGCUGUGUUUAGUUUCGGAAGGAAAAAAUUUCGCGAUACUAUAACACUUUUGUUUGUUUGUGUUAAUUAUUGUCUAACCAUGUACUAACUAGACUCAAAAAAUUCGUCUCGUCAAUUUCGACCAAACUGUGCAAUUAGUUUUUAUUUUCGUCUAUAUUUAAUACUUCAUGCAUGCGUCUAAAGACUCGAUAUGACGGAGAAUCUUGAAAAUUUUUUGGUUUUUUGAGUGGAAGUAAAUAAGGCCUUAGUUGACCAAAAUCUUUCCUUUAUAUUUGAUAAUUAUUGUUCGACUAUAAACUAACUAGAUUUAAAAAAUUAUCUCGUAAAUUACAAAUAAAUUAUACAAUUAAUUAUUUUUAGAAAUUUGGUCAAAGUUUAAAAAAUUUGACUUAGGACAACUCUAGAAACUGAUUCUUUCGUGAACGGAUAGAGUAACUAAUUAUACAGUUUACAUAUAAUUUACGAGAUGAAUCUUUUGAGCUUAGUUAGAGCAUCUCCAACCAUUAUGCAUUUGAAGUUAUGUAUUUUAGGCAAAUUACAAAUCCCCAAAUGAAAAUGGCAAGGCUAAAAUCGGGUGAUCUCCAACCGUUAUGCAAAAUGCCAAGUCCAUCAUCUUUUUUUUUCCCGGAAAUUUUGUUUCGCGGCACUCCUUCCUGCGCGGCCAAUCGAUCCCGCGCCAAACAGCCCGCCGUCGUCUCCCGUUCACCAAUUCCCGUGCCAAACAGCCGCGCAGUACCGAUCGUGAGCUGCGCAGUUCGUCGUUCCCGUUGGCAGUACCGAUCUCCCGUUCCGUUAGUUCCUGUUCACCGUACCAGUUCGUCGCCUGUUGGCCAUCAGUUCGUCGUCGUACAGGUUCGCCCCUUGGCUCCGGUACCGAUCUCCAUCAAGUCUUGUUCCCCAUCAGUUUCCGGUCGCCGCCAUCAGUUCGUCGUCAAGGCAGGUCGCCGCCAUCAGUCAAGCUGUUGCAGCUCGCGAGCAGCAGAAUUUCGUGAAGCCAACAUGGGAUCGAGGGUACCGGAGAAUGGAUCUAGCCGUAUUGCAUAGCGCAUCGCCAAGGUUUGAACUUCGUAGCCGAAUAUCUUGAUCCAAUUCAUGUGGUCUUUGUUCGAUGUACUGAGCUGCGAAGCUGGCGAAGGAGGACGCGCGAUGCUUCUCCUAUCGUGCAAAGUGGUGGCGGCGCGAAGGGAAACCGCGCGAAAGGAAGAAAAAAGCCCGCGAGAUGGAACCGAGAAUCCCGUGAUCUCUAUUUGCAUAGCCGGACUCCUUUGGCAUAUAUGCCAAGUUUCCCCCUCCAAAUGCAUAGCUAUGUAAAAUGCAAAGUCCAAAUGCAUAACGAUUGGAGAGGUUUUUUUAGGAGUUUUAUGCAUUUUGGUAAAUGGCAAGUCCAUUUGCAUAAUGGUUGGAGUUGCUCUUAGUCUAUAUUAAACAAUAUUUAUCAAAUACAAACAAAAGUGUUAAAAUGUUCAUUUUAUUUGUUCUCUUUUCUCCCUUCUCUCCUCCACGUCAGCAUCCAGCCCACUUCAGCCCCUUAUUUUAUCUGCAGGCGCAAAGCGUGUUUGGACAAGAGAAAGCAAGCGGUUCCACGGCUUUCCGCGGCAAAGCAAUACCAACGGAGACAGGCGUACCCGGAACCGGCAACUUGCGCGUAGUACUCGUACGCCCCAACCAUGGGCCUUGUUUAUUUUCCAGAAAAUUUUGCAAAAUAUUUCACAUUCCUCGUCACAUCGAAUUUUUAGACGUAUGCAUGGAGUAUUAAAUAUAGACGAAAAUAAAAACUAAUUGCACAGUUUGGUCGAAAUUGACCAGACGAAUCUUUUGAGUCUAGUUAGUACAUGAUUGGACAAUAUUUGUCAAAUACAAACGAAAAUGCUACAGUGUCAAUUUCCCAAAAUUUUUCGGAACUAAACAAGGCCCAAGCCCCAUUUUUCUCGCAGAAAAACGAAGCAGGGGGACCAGAAAGUGGAGGAUCGGGACAAAUCGUGGCCGCUCCGCUCCGGGGAAGUUGGGCGCGUCGGCGAAGCUUGCCUGUCCUCGCGUCGCCGAGCCCACACCUCGGCGCCUAUCUGGCUAUCAGCACUGCCCCCUUGUGAGUACAGUGACCUACUGACUUGUGUCACCAAUCCGGCCCCCUCAACUGUAUUUUCAUUCCACAUUAAAUUCCUCCUUUUCUCCCCUUCUCCAUAACGUCAACGAAGUAGGUUUCAAAAGGAAAAAAAAAAGUACUCCAUGAACUUUAGCAAAAAGUCGCUCUUGCAAUGUCAAAUCAGUUUUGCACUGUCCUGCUUUGCGGAUAAUCCUUUCGUCCAGUAAUACUAGGGCCUCGUUGUUCUGAAAAGAUUUCAGAUUUCGUACGUAUUUUUGUUUUUAUUUGACAAAUACUGUAUUAUCUAAUUAUGGACUAAUUAGACUCAAAAGAUUCAUCUCGUGAUUUACAACCAAACUGUGCAAUUAGUUUUUGUUUUCGUCUAUAUCUAAUGCUUUAUGCAUAUGCCUCAAGAUUUGAUGUGACGGAGAAUCUUGAAAAGUUUUUUAUUUUUUGGGUGAACUAAACAAGGCCUAGAUAACUCUGUGCUUGAGUUUAUUUGUCAAAUCUACCAACUAUUUUAGAAGUGUUUUUCUUUCAUAACAAAUCAGCGAAAAGUACUUUCAGCCGGCAAAUUAUUGGUGAAAUAAAUGAUAACCUUGUGCUUAUCAUAUUUUGCACAUGUUAAUAGAUACAAUGGCAGUUAUGUAUGUAGUUGGUGUUUUGAAGGAGUUAAUUCAUUUAGAAUUUAGAAUACCUUAUAAUUUAAGAUAAAAUUUGGAUGUUUUGAUACGUUAUAUUUUAGGACAGAUAGAGUAUAAUUCUACCUUUAUGUUAAGUCCAGUUUUCUAAGGUUAUAAGUAUCAGUAUUGAUAGCAAACUAAUAUUCAUGAUGAAUUGAAUAACACUUAAAUAUUGAUCUUUUUAUAAAUGAAUUAAAUGUAAAAUAUUUGACUAGAUGCUAUGCUAGACUGCAUUCUUUUUAGGAGGGGGGAAUACAAAAUGAAUGUUUCACUGAAUUCUCGUCUAUAAAGUCUGGAAUUCUAGCACAAUAUUAAGUAUAAAGAUAUCAAUAUUUAUAGUACCAACUAAAUAUCACAAGAUUUGUCAUGAAUAUAUUUUAUAGUAUAUUUAUAUUUAGCAUCAUAACUGUUAAUAUUUUUACCUAAAUAUAUUUGUUAAAUGUUAGAUAUUCUUGACAUAUGUAGUAGAUUAUAGAUAGGUUCACAUCCUGCCUCUGGGUCUGCCUUCAUAACUCAGUUAAUUCUGUACUUUUUCGCUAAUUCUACAAGUAAUUGGAAAGUUGAAGUUUGUAGGUUGGACGACCGUACAACUGCACCAAUCGGCUACUGUGGGAUACGAGCACUUAUAUAACUACAGUAGUGUGCAGUGCAUACUUUAUUGCAUGACUGUACGUGGAUGUGCUUCAAGCCUCAUCAAGGAGACACAAAAAAAUGGCAAAAUGGUAGAACGUUCAAGCGUCUACCAUUCUUGACCAAAAUUGAGGCCUUGUUAGUUUAAAAAAAAUUCAGACCGUCACAACAAAUCUUACUGUACAUAUAUGGAACACUAAAUAUAAAUUAAAAAAAUAACUAAUUAUAUAGUUUAUCUAUAAUUUACUAGACAAAUCUUUUGACCCUAGUUAGUUCAUAAUUGGACAAUAGUAACAAAUACCGGAUCACGUAUUAUCAACCAAUUUUCCGGUGUGUUUAUAAGCUCACAACAAAUCAUUAAUUUGACAUCGUGCAGCCUUUUUAUUUAUUUAAGAAAAGAAAAGAAAAACUAAAGGGUUAAGUUGUCAAUGAACAGUAGAGUAGGCAAACAUUUAUCUGUCCGUUCCAGCAGCAUUAAUCAAAAUUCAGACAAAUCCAUGUCAUUCUUGCAUUGUUGCCCUGGCCCCCAGUCACUACGCUUCAAAGCAGCAGCAGCAGGCCAGCAGCUGACGCCCUGACCCUACACCCAGUCAAACCGAUCGCCUCCUCCGAUCGCCAUUAACGAGUCAGUUGCUCUGCGCUACCACGCGGCCGAGAUGCUGCUGGCGCAGCAAGCUCACCGCCCCUAGAGCCUACAGCGAGCGAGCACGCACGGCAGCUACUAGAAGGCUAGCUAGCGCAUACCAAACCAAACAAACUCCUUUAAAGCCCCACCAGCGGGGGCAGCGCAGGCACCGUCGUCACUGCCAGGCUCGAGGGCAGAGCUAGGGGACCUCACCGCCGCGAUCUCCGGCGUGUCGAGCAGGGGCGUGGCGCGGCGGCCAGGGACGAGCGAGCUAGGGCGCCAUGAGCUCGUCGUCGGACAAUGGCGCCGGCCCGGAGGCCGGCGGGAAGAAGAAGAAGAAGAAGGCGGCGGAGGAGGAGGCGGCGGCGGCCAAGGUGCCGUUCCUGAAGCUGUUCUCGUUCGCGGACCGGUGGGACUGCGUGCUGAUGGCUGUGGGCUCGCUGGGCGCGUGCGCGCACGGCGCCUCCGUCCCGGUCUUCUUCAUCUUCUUCGGCAAGCUCAUCAACAUCAUCGGCCUCGCCUACCUCUUCCCCACCACCGUCUCCGGCCGCGUCGCCAAGGUAACGGCGCCGGCGCGCGCAUGGCGCAUCUAGCUCGCCGGCCGUUUUGUAGAGAUCUCGGCGCGCUCGCUCACCUAAUUGCUUGGUGCAACGACGACAUGGGCUGAUUUUUUUUUUUUCGCUUGGCGUGCACACAGUACUCGCUGGACUUCGUGUACCUCGGCGUCGUCAUACUCUUCUCGUCCUGGACCGGUGCGUGCGUGCGUGCGUGCAACAAGACACUGCUGCUUCUAGUAUGCAAUGCGGGCCGCGCGAGCAGCGUGCGUGCAGAUAAAAAAAGAUGACUUGCGCGUCGUCGUGUGUGUGGUGCAGAGGUGGCGUGCUGGAUGCACACGGGGGAGCGGCAGGCGGCGAAGAUGCGGCAGGCGUACCUGCGCGCGAUGCUGGACCAGGACAUCGCCGUCUUCGACACGGAGGCGUCCACCGGCGAGGUCAUCAACGCCAU
This 6486-nucleotide long non-coding RNA is filed under the name Sorghum bicolor (sorghum). RNAcentral's name for it is "long non-coding RNA (SBIC_LNC007399)". The record is from RNAcentral. Lineage: Eukaryota; Viridiplantae; Streptophyta; Magnoliopsida; Poales; Poaceae.